This 253-nucleotide ribosomal RNA is filed under the name uncultured bacterium. RNAcentral describes it as "partial 16S ribosomal RNA". It matches the Rfam family "Bacterial small subunit ribosomal RNA", at positions 524 to 776 of the family's 1533-position model. The record is from RNAcentral.
UACGUAGGAUGCAAGCGUUGUCCGGAAUUAUUGGGCGUAAAGAGUUCGUAGGCGGUUGCCUAAGUCUGGUGUUAAAUACAGGAGCUCAACUCCUGCAUGGCACUGGAAACUGGGCAGCUAGAGUGUGGUAGAGGUCACGGGAAUUCCAGGUGUAGCGGUGAAAUGCGUAGAUAUCUGGAGGAACACCAGUGGCGAAAGCGCGUGACUGGGCCACAACUGACGCUGAGGAACGAAAGCCAGGGGAUCAAAAAGG